Small nuclear RNA from Jaculus jaculus (lesser Egyptian jerboa), 111 nucleotides. Lineage: Eukaryota; Metazoa; Chordata; Mammalia; Rodentia; Dipodidae. The record is from Ensembl.
CUGCCAGGAGAGAGAGGCAGCACAUCUACCAAAAUUGGAAAGAAACGGAGUCGAUUAGCAUGGUCCCCGUGCCUGGAUGGCACUCAAAUUCAUGAAGCAUUCUAUAUUUUU